AGCGGCACGCGAGCUGGGUUUAGAACGUCGUGAGACAGUUCGGUCCCUAUCCACCGCGCGCGUAGGAGACUUGCGGAGUUCUGUCCCUAGUACGAGAGGACCGGGACGGACGGACCUCUGGUGUGCCAGUUGUCCCGCCAGGGGCAUGGCUGGUUAGCUACGUUCGGAAGGGAUAACCGCUGAAUGCAUCUAAGUGGGAAGCCCGCUCCUAGAUGAGGUCUCCCACGGGGACAACCCGGUAAGGCCCCCAGUGAGACGACUGGGUUGAUAGGCCGGAGGUGGAAGCCCCGCGAGGGGUGGAGCUGACCGGUACUAAUCGGCCGAGGGCUUGCCCUACCCCACAAUC
This 346-nucleotide ribosomal RNA is filed under the name Halostreptopolyspora alba. Its description in RNAcentral is "bacterial LSU rRNA". It matches the Rfam family "Bacterial large subunit ribosomal RNA", at positions 2592 to 2925 of the family's 2925-position model. The record is from RNAcentral. Lineage: Bacteria; Bacillati; Actinomycetota; Actinomycetes; Streptosporangiales; Nocardiopsidaceae.